AUCAACUUUCGAUGGUAGGAUAGAGGCCUACCAUGGUGGUAACGGGUAACGGGGUGUUAGGGCACGACACCGGAGAGGGAGCCUGAGAAACGGCUACCACAUCCAAGGAUGGCAGCAGGCGCGCAAAUUACCCAAUCCCGACACGGGGAGGUAGUGACAAUAAAUAACAAUACGGGGUUCUUUCGGAUCUCGUAAUUGGAAUGAGUACAAUUUAAAUCUCUUAACGAGGAACAAUUGGAGGGCAAGUCUGGUGCCAGCAGCCGCGGUAAUUCCAGCUCCAAUAGCGUAUAUUAAAGUUGUUGCAGUUAAAAAGCUCGUAGUUGAAUUUCGGGAUCAAAUUGUUGGUCGUGCUUCGGUACGCACUGGCAUUAUUGGUUCCUACCUUCUGAAGAACCGCGAUGUCAUUAAUUUGGUGUCGUGGGGAAUCAGGACUGUUACUUUGAAAAAAUUAGAGUGUUUAAAGCAGGCGCACGCUUGAAUGCAUUAGCAUGGAAUAAUGAAAUAGGACGUUUGAUUCUAUUUUGUUGGUUUCUAGGAUCGACGUAAUGAUUAAUAGGGAUAGUUGGGGGCAUUAGUAUUCAAUUGUCAGAGGUGAAAUUCUUGGAUUUAUUGAAGACUAACUACUGCGAAAGCAUUUGCCAAGGAUGUUUUCAUUAAUCAAGAACGAAAGUUAGGGGAUCGAAGACGAUCCGAUACCGUCGUAGUCUUAACCAUAAACUAUGCCGACUAGGGAUCGGAUGAUGUUAAUUUUUUUAAUGACUCAUUCGGCGCCUUACGGGAAACCAAAGUGUUUGGGUUC
Molecule: ribosomal RNA, 799 nt
Filed under: uncultured Glomus
Lineage: Eukaryota; Fungi; Glomeromycota; Glomeromycetes; Glomerales; Glomeraceae
Description: SSU rRNA
Rfam family: Eukaryotic small subunit ribosomal RNA
Source: RNAcentral